ACUUAAGCAUAUCAAUAAGCGGGGGGAAAGAAACUAACAAGGAUUCCCCUAGUAACUGCGAGUGAAGCGGGAAAAGCUCAAAUUUAAAAUCUGGCGGUCUUUGGCCGUCCGAGUUGUAGUCUGGAGAAGUGCUUUCCGCGCUGGACCGUGUAUAAGUCUCUUGGAACAGAGCGUCAUAGAGGGUGAGAAUCCCGUCUUUGACACGGACUACCAGUGCUUUGUGAUGCGCUCUCAAAGAGUCGCGUUGUUUGGGAAUGCAGCGCAAAAUGGGUGGUGAAUUCCAUCUAAAGCUAAAUAUUGGCGAGAGACCGAUAGCGAACAAGUACCGUGAGGGAAAGAUGAAAAGCACUUUGGAAAGAGAGUUAAACAGUACGUGAAAUUGCUGAAAGGGAAACGCUUGAAGUCAGUCGCGUUGUCCGGGACUCAGCCUUGCUUCGGCUUGGUGCACUUCCCGGAUGACGGGCCAGCAUCGAUUUUGACCGCUGGAAAAGGGCUGGAGGAAUGUGGCACCUUCGGGUGUGUUAUAGCCUCCAGUCGCAUACGGCGGUUGGGAUCGAGGAACGCAGCACGCCUUUAUGGCGGGGGUUCGCCCACCUUCGUGCUUAGGAUGCUGGCAUAAUGGCUUUAAACGACCCGUCUUGAAACACGGAC
This 651-nucleotide small RNA is filed under the name Trametes cinnabarina. Its description in RNAcentral is "eukaryotic LSU rRNA". It matches the Rfam family "Eukaryotic large subunit ribosomal RNA", at positions 32 to 666 of the family's 3401-position model. The record is from RNAcentral. Lineage: Eukaryota; Fungi; Basidiomycota; Agaricomycetes; Polyporales; Polyporaceae.